RNAcentral lists this long non-coding RNA (521 nucleotides) under Homo sapiens (human). RNAcentral describes it as "HSALNT0006854". The record is from RNAcentral. Lineage: Eukaryota; Metazoa; Chordata; Mammalia; Primates; Hominidae.
GCUGGGCCUGGUGGCACACGCCUGUAGGGCCAAGUGGGAGGAUCCUCAAGUGGGAGGAUCACUUGAGCCUGGGAAGUCAAGGCUGCAUUGAGAUGUGAUCCCGCCACUGCAUUCCAGCUCCAGCCUGGGCAACAGAGAGAGACCCUGACUCAAAAGGUUGAAAAAAAAAGAAUUUUCAAAUUUUAAACAUUUUCCCCACAGGGUCAACUUCUCCCUGUGACCGAGCAUACAAUGAAGCUAUUAUUUAAGAAAUUGCAUUCUGUAUUAAACCCUUUAUUAUGAUCAGUAUCUCAUUGCAUCCUCAAUCUUGCACACUGUCAGCCUCAUUUUACAGACAAGGAAAGCUGACCUUCUAGAAAUGACUUUCCCAAUAUCAGAGAAAUAGGAUUUGAACAUAAGGCUAACUGACUCUAACACGUUAUCACUGUAUCACUGAGUACAGCCUUUAAGAAAAGCUCAACACUGGGCCAGGCACGGUGGCUCACCUAAUUUUUUUUUUAAUUUUAUUUAUUGGCCGGGUG